This 501-nucleotide ribosomal RNA is filed under the name Triticum aestivum (bread wheat). RNAcentral's name for it is "partial small subunit ribosomal RNA". The record is from RNAcentral. Lineage: Eukaryota; Viridiplantae; Streptophyta; Magnoliopsida; Poales; Poaceae.
AUGAGUCCAUAUGAAUUGUUUGCUACUACCUUGCAUUGCAUGAUGCCAUCUGUUAAACUAGAUUUGAAAAAGUAUUUGCUUGGAUAUGAUCAUAUAUACCUUGUUAGUGGAAUUACUCACAUUAGGGAUGAUCAUAGUUACUUUCAUCGUGCUAGACCUAUGCUUAAUGAAACAUAUCAUUCUCAUACUAGUCUUGAGCUUAAUGAUAAAUGUCAUCCUCAUGUUAGUGUUGACCUUAUUGAUUUCUAUCACCCUAAACAUGUGCUUUAUAGCUAUGCUUAUGUAAUUGGCCACUCGAUUGAUGACUUGGAGGGUAUUAUCCCUACCACUCGCAUUGUCUCUUUUGUUGAGUGCCUUUUUAGGUUUUUGCUUCUGCACUGUUCACUUCAUGCUGACCAGGUUCGAGGUGACAUUCCUUGGGACCCUGGUGGACUCAGAGCACGGCGAAGAGGAGAAGCAAUGGGGCACACAUAUGGAAGAGAGAAGCUGGAGAAGGCAUGA